AGAGAAAGACGACUAAAGUUUCUUAAACUAUCUAAUCAUAUAGUUUAUUCUCAACGCUGUUAAUUAUAAUCAUAUAAAGUGGAGUCUCAUAGCUCAGCUGGUUAGAGCGCUACACUGAUAAUGUAGAGGUCGGCAGUUCAAGUCUGCCUGAGACUACUACGUUUAGUUUUAAUACUAAAUAAAUGAGGAUUUUAGUAGCUGAGUUUAUGAUUCUAAGAGCUCAUUUUUAUAUGGGGGAUUAGCUCAGCUGGCUAGAGCGCUAGAUUUGCAUUCUAGAGGUCGUGGGUUCGACUCCCACAUUCUCCACAAUCAGCUUUAUGCUGAAAAUGUUCAUUGACAUACUGAAAAAAAUACAUGAAAUUAGAAAAUUUCUAAACAAAUCUAAAUUUGAUUAAUUAAUUAAUUAAUCAGGUUUACGAGCAAUAUAAUUUAUAACUCAUAAAAAUACAAAAGUUAC
This 457-nucleotide transfer RNA is filed under the name uncultured Flavobacteriaceae bacterium. RNAcentral describes it as "16S-23S ribosomal RNA intergenic spacer". The stretch from base 83 to 156 matches the Rfam family "tRNA". Lineage: Bacteria; Pseudomonadati; Bacteroidota; Flavobacteriia; Flavobacteriales; Flavobacteriaceae. The record is from RNAcentral.